This 404-nucleotide ribosomal RNA is filed under the name uncultured bacterium. RNAcentral's name for it is "partial 16S ribosomal RNA". It matches the Rfam family "Bacterial small subunit ribosomal RNA", at positions 28 to 526 of the family's 1533-position model. The record is from RNAcentral.
GACGAACGCUGGCGGCGUGCCUAAUACAUGCAAGUCGAACGCAGUGGGGACGGGUUGGUAACACGUGGGUAAGAUGCCCAUCAGAAGGGAUAAAACUUGGAAACAGGUGCUAAACCGAUAGUGAUGGAUAGACACGCGGGUGAUUAGCUAGUUGGUGAGGUAACGGCUCACCAAGGCGACGAUGCAUAGCCGAUCUGAGAGGAUGAUCGGCCACACUGGGACUGAGACACGGCCCAGACUCCUACGGGAGGCAGCAGUAGGGAAUAUUCGACAAUGGACGAAAGUCUGACCGAGCAACGCCGCGUGAGUGAAGAAGGUCUUCGGAUCGUAAAACUCUGUUGGUAGAGAAGCGUUACCUAAAGAGGAAGCCACGGCUAACUACGUGCCAGCAGCCGCGGUAAUAC